RNAcentral lists this ribosomal RNA (125 nucleotides) under Oscillospiraceae bacterium. RNAcentral describes it as "partial 16S ribosomal RNA". It matches the Rfam family "Bacterial small subunit ribosomal RNA", at positions 1 to 124 of the family's 1533-position model. The record is from RNAcentral. Lineage: Bacteria; Bacillati; Bacillota; Clostridia; Eubacteriales; Oscillospiraceae.
ACUUUAAAGAGUUUGAUCCUGGCUCAGGACGAACGCUGGCGGCACGCCUAACACAUGCAAGUCGAACGGUGAAGAGGAGCUUGCUCCUCGGAACAGUGGCGGACGGGUGAGUAACACGUGAGCAA